GACGAACGCUGGCGGCAGGCUUAACACAUGCAAGUCGAACGCACCGCAAGGUGAGUAGCAGACGGGUGAGUAACGCGUGGGAACGUACACUUCGGUUCGGAAUAGCUCCGGGAAACUGGAAUUAAAACCGGAUACGCCCUUAGGGGGAAAGAUUUAUCGCCGAAGGAUCGGCCCGCGUCAGAUUAGGUAGUUGGUAGGGUAACGGCCUACCAAGCCGAUGAUCUGUAGCUGGUCUGAGAGGAUGANCAGCCACACUGGGACUGAGACACGGCCCAGACUCCUACGGGAGGCAGCAGUGGGGAAUAUUGGACAAUGGGCGCAAGCCUGAUCCAGCCAUGCCGCGUGGAUGAAGAAGGCCCUAGGGUUGUAAA
This 371-nucleotide ribosomal RNA is filed under the name uncultured bacterium. Its description in RNAcentral is "bacterial SSU rRNA". It matches the Rfam family "Bacterial small subunit ribosomal RNA", at positions 28 to 429 of the family's 1533-position model. The record is from RNAcentral.